UACAGAGGGGGCAAGCGUUGUUCGGAAUUACUGGGCGUAAAGGGCGCGUAGGCGGCCCGCUAAGUCGAACGUGAAAUCCCCGAGCUCAACUCGGGAACUGCGUCCGAUACUGGCGGGCUUGAAUCCGGGAGAGGGAUGCGGAAUUCCAGGUGUAGCGGUGAAAUGCGUAGAUAUCUGGAGGAACACCAAUUGCGAAGGCAGCUCGCUGGGACGUUACUGACGCUGAGACGCGAAAGCGUGGGGAGCAAACAGG
Molecule: ribosomal RNA, 253 nt
Filed under: uncultured bacterium
Lineage: Bacteria
Description: partial 16S ribosomal RNA
Rfam family: Bacterial small subunit ribosomal RNA
Source: RNAcentral